Small nucleolar RNA from Amaranthus tricolor (Joseph's coat), 106 nucleotides. NCBI's taxonomy places the organism in Eukaryota, Viridiplantae, Streptophyta, Magnoliopsida, Caryophyllales, Amaranthaceae. The record is from RefSeq and is a predicted model, not a curated record.
AAUCCGUGAUGUGGGCACUUUCUGAUUAGACUUUUGAAUCUCUCCCAUGCAUCAUAGAGUGAUUCCUCGUCUUUUUGCUUGAAAGUAGAGAUUUCAUUUCGGUACU